This 799-nucleotide ribosomal RNA is filed under the name Metabacillus litoralis. RNAcentral's name for it is "bacterial SSU rRNA". It matches the Rfam family "Bacterial small subunit ribosomal RNA", at positions 548 to 1345 of the family's 1533-position model. The record is from RNAcentral. Lineage: Bacteria; Bacillati; Bacillota; Bacilli; Caryophanales; Bacillaceae.
GAAUUAUUGGGCGUAAAGCGCGCGCAGGUGGUUUCUUAAGUCUGAUGUGAAAGCCCACGGCUCAACCGUGGAGGGUCAUUGGAAACUGGGGAACUUGAGUGCAGAAGAGGAAAGUGGAAUUCCAAGUGUAGCGGUGAAAUGCGUAGAGAUUUGGAGGAACACCAGUGGCGAAGGCGACUUUCUGGUCUGUAACUGACACUGAGGCGCGAAAGCGUGGGGAGCGAACAGGAUUAGAUACCCUGGUAGUCCACGCCGUAAACGAUGAGUGCUAAGUGUUAGAGGGUUUCCGCCCUUUAGUGCUGCAGCAAACGCAUUAAGCACUCCGCCUGGGGAGUACGGUCGCAAGACUGAAACUCAAAGGAAUUGACGGGGGCCCGCACAAGCGGUGGAGCAUGUGGUUUAAUUCGAAGCAACGCGAAGAACCUUACCAGGUCUUGACAUCCCACUGCCCGGUAUAGAGAUAUACCUUUCCCUUCGGGGACAGUGGUGACAGGUGGUGCAUGGUUGUCGUCAGCUCGUGUCGUGAGAUGUUGGGUUAAGUCCCGCAACGAGCGCAACCCUUGAUCUUAGUUGCCAGCAUUCAGUUGGGCACUCUAAGAUGACUGCCGGUGACAAACCGGAGGAAGGUGGGGAUGACGUCAAAUCAUCAUGCCCCUUAUGACCUGGGCUACACACGUGCUACAAUGGAUGGUACAAAGGGCUGCGAGACUGCGAAGUUAAGCGAAUCCCAUAAAACCAUUCUCAGUUCGGAUUGCAGGCUGCAACUCGCCUGCAUGAAGCUGGAAUCGCUAGUAAUCGC